This 253-nucleotide ribosomal RNA is filed under the name uncultured bacterium. Its description in RNAcentral is "partial 16S ribosomal RNA". It matches the Rfam family "Bacterial small subunit ribosomal RNA", at positions 524 to 776 of the family's 1533-position model. The record is from RNAcentral.
UACGAAGGGGGCUAGCGUUGCUCGGAAUCACUGGGCGUAAAGGGUGCGUAGGCGGGUCUUUAAGUCAGGGGUGAAAUCCUGGAGCUCAACUCCAGAACUGCCUUUGAUACUGAAGAUCUUGAGUUCGGGAGAGGUGAGUGGAACUGCGAGUGUAGAGGUGAAAUUCGUAGAUAUUCGCAAGAACACCAGUGGCGAAGGCGGCUCACUGGCCCGAUACUGACGCUGAGGCACUAAAGCGUGGGGAGCAAACAGG